GCUUGCUGCUUCGCUGACGAGUGGCGGACGGGUGAGUAAUGUCUGGGAAACUGCCCGAUGGAGGGGGAUAACUACUGGAAACGGUAGCUAAUACCGCAUAACGUCGCAAGACCAAAGAGGGGGACCUUCGGGCCUCUUGCCAUCGGAUGUGCCCAGAUGGGAUUAGCUUGUUGGUGAGGUAACGGCUCACCAAGGCGACGAUCCCUAGCUGGUCUGAGAGGAUGACCAGCCACACUGGAACUGAGACACGGUCCAGACUCCUACGGGAGGCAGCAGUGGGGAAUAUUGCACAAUGGGCGCAAGCCUGAUGCAGCCAUGCCGCGUGUAUGAAGAAGGCCUUCGGGUUGUAAAGUACUUUCAGCGGGGAGGAAGGGGUUAAGGUUAAUAACCUUAGCCAUUGACGUUACCCGCAGAAGAAGCACCGGCUAACUCCGUGCCAGCAGCCGCGGUAAUACGGAGGGUGCAAGCGUUAAUCGGAAUUACUGGGCGUAAAGCGCACGCAGGCGGUCUGUCAAGUCGGAUGUGAAAUCCCCGGGCUCAACCUGGGAACUGCAUUCGAAACUGGCAGGCUUGAGUCUCGUAGAGGGGGGUAGAAUUCCAGGUGUAGCGGUGAAAUGCGUAGAGAUCUGGAGGAAUACCGGUGGCGAAGGCGGCCCCCUGGACGAAGACUGACGCUCAGGUGCGAAAGCGUGGGGAG
RNAcentral lists this ribosomal RNA (697 nucleotides) under uncultured bacterium. RNAcentral describes it as "bacterial SSU rRNA". It matches the Rfam family "Bacterial small subunit ribosomal RNA", at positions 78 to 768 of the family's 1533-position model. The record is from RNAcentral.